This 479-nucleotide ribosomal RNA is filed under the name uncultured bacterium. Its description in RNAcentral is "partial 16S ribosomal RNA". It matches the Rfam family "Bacterial small subunit ribosomal RNA", at positions 28 to 507 of the family's 1533-position model. The record is from RNAcentral.
GAUGAACGCUAGCGGGAGGCCUAACACAUGCAAGCCGAGCGGUAGAGCUUCUUCGGAGUCUUGAGAGCGGCGCACGGGUGCGUAACACGUGUGCAACCUACCUUUAUCUGGGGGAUGGCCUUUCGAAAGGAACAUUAAUACCCCAUAAUUUAAUGCUUGGCCUCAAUUGUUAUUGAAAACUCCUUUGGAUGGAGGUGGGCACGCGCGAGAUUAGAUAGUUGGUGAGGUAACGGCUCACCAAGCCAAUGAUCUUUAGGGGUCCUGAGGGUGAGAUCCCCCACAGUGGGACUGAGACACGGACCAGAGUCCUACGGGACGCAGCAGUGAGGAAGAUUGGACAAUGGGUGAGAGCCUGAUCCAGCCAUCCCGCGUGAAGGAUGACGGUCCUAGGGAUUGUAAACUUCUUUUGUACAGGGAUAAACCUACCCUCGUGAGGGUAGCUGAAGGUACUGUACGAAUAAGCACCGGCUAACUCCGUG